This 1035-nucleotide long non-coding RNA is filed under the name Penaeus japonicus. Its description in RNAcentral is "uncharacterized LOC122247422, transcript variant X2". The record is from RNAcentral. Lineage: Eukaryota; Metazoa; Arthropoda; Malacostraca; Decapoda; Penaeidae.
GCACUCGGCUUGGUAACGUGAGGUUUCGUGCGCUCUCACUCCGUCGCUCGCGUGUGUGUUUGUGUCAAGAGGGGAUGGGACACAUUUGUGUGUUACUCUUUGAUCUGUUUUGGAAUAAGUGGAUUUUGAUAAUAACUGUGACUUGCCUAUCAAAAGUGGACUUUCUUUGAGGAUUUCCUUUAUUUAAGAAGCAGAUCCAACGCUCCAGAGUGAGUGUCGAGAGACUGUGUAUUGUAUGCUGUAUACUGUAUGCUGUACCCUCUCUCCUGUACCCCGACAUUGGCUAUGAUGCUAAGGAUUAUGUGAAUUGAUGAGACGUUUGAGGUACGCGAAUGAGAGGAAGAAAGUGACAGAAGAGAUAGAUAGAUAGAUAGAAAGAAAUAACAGAGAGAAAGAAGAAAGACCAAGUAAAAGGGGAAAUAGAUAGAAGUUUGUUGACAAAAGCAAAGACUGAAUUACCCAUUAGUGAAAUGAAGCAAAGAAUUUGACUAAGAGAAAGAGAGAAAAGGAAAGGAAAAAACAGAAAGAUCAGGAAAGAAAGAAUGACAAAAAAACUAAACUGAUGUACUGGAAAAACUCGCAGUUUGUGGGAAAGAGACUGAGUGACACCUAGUUAUGAGAAGAGAGUGCCUAACGAGAGGUGUGUGUGUGGCACUCCUGUUCUCGCUGGCACUGACUGUGGUGGGUCUCGUGACAUUCUUUGUGGCACUGCUGACGACCACAUAACCCUGAGAGAGAGAGAGAGAAAGAGGGAGAGAGAGAGAGAGAAAUAGAAAGACUCUCCAUCAACGGACUUUUAUUCGCCGAUUUGAAAGGAUCCAACGCUCCAGAGUGAGUGUCGAGAGACUGUGUAUUGUAUGCUGUAUACUGUAUGCUGUACCCUCUCUCCUGUACCCCGACAUUGGCUAUGAUGCUAAGGAUUAUGUGAAUUGAUGAGACGUUUGAGGUACGCGAAUGAGAGGAAGGAAGUGACAGAAGAGAUACAUAGAUAGAUAGAUAGAAAGAAAUAACAGAGAGAAAGAAGAAAGACCAAGU